RNAcentral lists this ribosomal RNA (465 nucleotides) under Vreelandella stevensii. Its description in RNAcentral is "partial 16S ribosomal RNA". It matches the Rfam family "Bacterial small subunit ribosomal RNA", at positions 338 to 795 of the family's 1533-position model. The record is from RNAcentral. Lineage: Bacteria; Pseudomonadati; Pseudomonadota; Gammaproteobacteria; Oceanospirillales; Halomonadaceae.
CCUACGGGGGGCUGCGGUGGGGAAUAUUGGACAAUGGGCGAAAGCCUGAUCCAGCCAUGCCGCGUGUGUGAAGAAGGCCUUCGGGUUGUAAAGCACUUUCAGUGGGGAAGAAAGCCUUGGGGCUAAUACCCUCGAGGAAGGACAUCACCCACAGAAGAAGCACCGGCUAACUCCGUGCCAGCAGCCGCGGUAAUACGGAGGGUGCGAGCGUUAAUCGGAAUUACUGGGCGUAAAGCGCGCGUAGGCGGUCUGAUAAGCCGGUUGUGAAAGCCCCGGGCUCAACCUGGGAACGGCAUCCGGAACUGUCAGGCUAGAGUGCAGGAGAGGAAGGUAGAAUUCCCGGUGUAGCGGUGAAAUGCGUAGAGAUCGGGAGGAAUACCAGUGGCGAAGGCGGCCUUCUGGACUGACACUGACGCUGAGGUGCGAAAGCGUGGGUAGCAAACAGGAUUAGAUACCCCAGUAGUC